Molecule: ribosomal RNA, 448 nt
Filed under: uncultured bacterium
Lineage: Bacteria
Description: bacterial SSU rRNA
Rfam family: Bacterial small subunit ribosomal RNA
Source: RNAcentral
GUCCAGACUCCUACGGGAGGCAGCAGUGGGGAAUAUUGGGCAAUGGGCGCAAGCCUGACCCAGCAACGCCGCGUGAAGGAAGAAGGCUUUCGGGUUGUAAACUUCUUUUGACAGGGAAGAGCAGAAGACGGUACCUGUCGAAUAAGCCACGGCUAACUACGUGCCAGCAGCCGCGGUAAUACGUAGGGGGCGAGCGUUGUCCGGAAUUACUGGGCGUAAAGAGAGCGUAGGCGGCACUACAAGUCUCAUGUGAAAUACCCGGGCUUAACUUGGGGGUUGCAUGGGAAACUGUAGAGCUUGAGUACAGGAGAGGCAAGCGGAAUUCCUAGUGUAGCGGUGAAAUGCAUAGAUAUUAGGAGGAACACCAGUGGCGAAGGCGGCUUGCUGGACUGAAACUGACGCUGAGGCUCGAAAGCGUGGGGAGCAAACAGGAUUAGAUACCCCAGUA